This is a non-coding RNA of Ceratotherium simum simum (southern white rhinoceros), 545 nucleotides long. The record is from RefSeq and is a predicted model, not a curated record. NCBI's taxonomy places the organism in Eukaryota, Metazoa, Chordata, Mammalia, Perissodactyla, Rhinocerotidae.
UCCUUCCUUCUCUCUCCUUUUAGUGACCCAGCUCCUCUGUCUCAGCAUUGUCCUCCCCAUCCCCACUUCUGAAGACCAGUCCCCUGGGCUGCAAAGUAUAGGUGGGGCCACAGAGGCCCAGAGGGUCCUACGACUUGUCACAGGUCACACCACCAUUCCCACGAAGAACACGAUGAUACCCUGAAAUGGCCUGCCCAUCCCUAUGGCUUCUCAUGCACCCAGUCAAUAAUUAAUUGGCCAACCAACAUUCUUGGAGAUGCCACUGAAGACCCAGUGCUGUGUUGGGCCUGUGAGGACACCCAGAGGUUCACAACCCGGUCCUUGUCCUCAAGGCGUUUAGCAUCGAGAUGGUGUUUGAGUCACCUUCGAGCUCAGCAUGGGCACAGGAAAAAACAGUAAAGGAAGUACCUUCCUCAGGGUCAGCUUGAGCGAAAUACCACCCCGAUGACAUUUGUCUAUGUCUGGAAAUGUUUACACAGGGAUUGCGCUGUAUGGAGCAUUAUAAUGCGUCAAUUUGCCUUUGCAGGUUGUCCUUGCACUUUCCA